GUGCAGCAGUCGCGAAAACUCUGCAAUACACGAAAGUGUGACAGGGCUACCCCGAGUGCCGUCCGCUGAGGAUGGCUUUUAUCCAGUCUAGAUAGCUGGAUGAAUAAGGAGAGGGCAAGUCUGGUGUCAGCCGCCGCGGUAAUACCAGCUCUCCGAGUGGUGGGGAUGAUUAUUGGGCCUAAAGCAUCCGUAGCCGGCUAGGCAAGUCCCCUGUUAAAUCCACCGAUUUAAUCGGUGGAUUGCGGGGUAUACUGCUCGGCUAGGGGACGGGAGAGGUCGACGGUAUUUCCGGGGUAGGGGUGAAAUCCUAUAAUCCCGGAAAGACCACCAGUGGCGAAGGCUGUCGGCUAGAACGCGCCCGACGGUGAGGGAUGAAAGCUGGGGGAGCGAACCGGAUUAGAUACCCGGGUAGUCC
Molecule: ribosomal RNA, 415 nt
Filed under: uncultured crenarchaeote
Lineage: Archaea; Thermoproteati; Thermoproteota
Description: partial 16S ribosomal RNA
Rfam family: Archaeal small subunit ribosomal RNA
Source: RNAcentral